Molecule: ribosomal RNA, 492 nt
Filed under: uncultured bacterium
Lineage: Bacteria
Description: partial 16S ribosomal RNA
Rfam family: Bacterial small subunit ribosomal RNA
Source: RNAcentral
AGUGAACGCUGGCGGUAGGCCUAACACAUGCAAGUCGAACGGCAGCACAGUAAGAGCUUGCUCUUACUGGUGGCGAGUGGCGGACGGGUGAGGAAUACAUCGGAAUCUACUUUUUCGUGGGGGAUAACGUAGGGAAACUUACGCUAAUACCGCAUACGACCUACGGGUGAAAGCAGGGGAUCUUCGGACCUUGCGCGAUUGUAUGAGCCGAUGUCGGAUUAGCUAGUUGGCGAGGUAAAGGCCCACCAAGGCGACGAUCCGUAGCUGAUCUGAGAGGAUGAUCGGCCACACUGGAACUGAGACACGGUCCAGACUCCUACGGGAGGCAGCAGUGGGGAAUAUUGGACAAUGGGCGCAAGCCUGAUCCAGCCAUACCGCGUGGGUGAAGAAGGCCUUCGGGUUGUAAAGCCCUUUUGUUGGGAAAGAAAAGCAGCAGGUUAAUACCCCGCUGUUCUGACGGUACCCAAAGAAUAAGCACCGGCUAACUUCGUG